GCAUCACUGGUGUUCGGGUUGUCAUGCCAAUGGCACUGCCCGGUAGCUAAAUGCGGAAGAGAUAAGUGCUGAAAGCAUCUAAGCACGAAACUUGCCCCGAGAUGAGUUCUCCCUGACUCCUUGAGAGUCCUGAAGGAACGUUGAAGACGACGACGUUGAUAGGCCGGAUGUGUAAGCGCAGCGAUGCGUUGAGCUAACCGGUACUAAUGAACCGUGAGGCUUAACCUUACAACGCCGAAGGUGUUU
RNAcentral lists this ribosomal RNA (246 nucleotides) under Escherichia coli. RNAcentral's name for it is "partial 23S ribosomal RNA". It matches the Rfam family "Bacterial large subunit ribosomal RNA", at positions 2703 to 2925 of the family's 2925-position model. Lineage: Bacteria; Pseudomonadati; Pseudomonadota; Gammaproteobacteria; Enterobacterales; Enterobacteriaceae. The record is from RNAcentral.